UUUCCUACGGGGCGCAGCAGUGAGGAAUAUUGGUCAAUGGACGAGAGUCUGAACCAGCCAAGUAGCGUGAGGGAAGACGGUCUUCGGAUUGUAAACCUCUGUCUUUGGGGAAGAAAAUGACGGUACCCAAAGAGGAAGCUCCGGCUAACUACGUGCCAGCAGCCGCGGUAAUACGUAGGGAGCGAGCGUUGUCCGGAAUUACUGGGUGUAAAGGGAGCGUAGGCGGGCGAGAAAGUUGAAUGUUAAAUCUACCGGCUUAACUGGUAGCUGCGUUCAAAACUUCUUGUCUUGAGUGAAGUAGAGGC
RNAcentral lists this ribosomal RNA (305 nucleotides) under uncultured bacterium. RNAcentral describes it as "bacterial SSU rRNA". It matches the Rfam family "Bacterial small subunit ribosomal RNA", at positions 335 to 658 of the family's 1533-position model. The record is from RNAcentral.